GCGUUUGUAGUACCAACGGUUAGGAUAAUUGCCUUCCAAGCAAUAGACCUCUGGUUCGAACUCCCGGCAAACGCA
This 75-nucleotide transfer RNA is filed under the name Ipomoea nil (Japanese morning glory). It matches the Rfam family "tRNA". From Rfam's summary of the family: Transfer RNA (tRNA) molecules are approximately 80 nucleotides in length. Their secondary structure includes four short double-helical elements and three loops (D, anti-codon, and T loops). Further hydrogen bonds mediate the characteristic L-shaped molecular structure. tRNAs have two regions of fundamental functional importance: the anti-codon, which is responsible for specific mRNA codon recognition, and the 3' end, to which the tRNAs corresponding amino acid is attached (by aminoacyl-tRNA synthetases). tRNAs cope with the degeneracy of the genetic code in two manners: having more than one tRNA (with a specific anti-codon) for a particular amino acid; and 'wobble' base-pairing, i.e. permitting non-standard base-pairing at the 3rd anti-codon position. The record is from Rfam by way of RNAcentral. Lineage: Eukaryota; Viridiplantae; Streptophyta; Magnoliopsida; Solanales; Convolvulaceae.